UCAAAUCUACAUGAAUAGUUGGAAUAUAAGAGGCAAGAAUAUUUAUAUCCAUGAAAUCCAGCAAUUAAAUAUAAGAUUGUACAGCACAGCGCCGUUUUUGUUAUGUUUUCGUUGUGAUCGCCGUGUUCACUAGGCCUAACACCGGCGACAAAACGUAUUAUUUUCGGUUAGAUAUCGAUGGAUGAGCAUCAGUUGAAACUGAUUUCCGAGAAACGUAUAUGAGGAUGUACAUUUGCAGCGUAAAAUCAGAGUAGUCUGUGGAAAUUUUUUGACACGAAAUCCCCGCUUCACUGUGUUUGUUUUCGUCGCCAUUUUGGGUGGCAAUGAGGUGUCAUGGCGACCCCCUUGAUAAAGAGCAAACCAAUCAGUGGAGCGAAACUGUGAUUGACAAGUCGAGCCUCUUUUUGUGACUCCUCCCAAUGGCCAGACUCUCUUUUAAUAUACGGCUCUGAGCCGAGCGCUACCGGUGCGCCAUCUGUUAGGCAAGAACAGAGGCCGCAGCGCUCCGCCUUCCGAGUCCUCCUAUUGGCGUGCAUUUUGGAGGCGGAGCCUCCCUCGCGAACUCAAGGAUAGUUUUUUGAUAUAUUGACUCAUGGGCCCAUCACGGGGAUGUGCGAUGUAUCCUUGUUCCCCCACUUUUCUGAAUCUCAUUUCUGUGUCAUUAACAUUUUUUGCUACUAUAUUGACUCAUUAGCCCUUUACGUGGUAUAUGUAAUGUGCCUAUGUCCCCAGUAUCUUUUUGCGAUGUUUCAGUAGGGGUAGGUUGAACUGAAAUUCAGCAAGGCCUGUGUGUCACUUACUACAUAUCUACAUAUACCAGUGCUGAUUGCAAUACGUGAGGUAGUCUUUGUAAAACUCUACCUUGCAAUAAAGAUUCUAAUAGAAUGAUAUAUAUGUGCACAAAAUCAAGCUUCCUUUCAGCUCUGGUCUAAUGGUCCCAGCAGCUAUGUGGCUAGUUUUCGUGCCAUUUAGCUGAGGGAGCCACUGGAUUGGGACCAAGACUGAAAUCCCAUCUGUCAAGUGGUCCCACUUGCUGACUGGUUCCAGAUCCCAAGCAGUCCCCACUCCAUAGUGGUUCCCUACGGGAACCACCUGGGAAUGGGGACCAGCAUGAGACCUGUCUCAAAAACCACUUUGAACUGGUCCCAUUCUAGAUUUUUGCCUGGACUCCAAGGCAAACACCCAUCGCUCCUUUUGUGCUCGAGAAGUGUGUCGCUUCAGCUCAUCUGCAUAGUAAAAUUUAGCGAUUUAUGUCUCGAGGGAUGCCCAGCAGUUCUGUUGGAAACCAGAACCAAGAACACAAAGAAACUCCAUAGGUGUCCAGUAGUUACAUAAGGCUUCAGACAGGAUGACCGUCUGGCCACAUAAUGCAUCUGUGAAAACCACAUCAAGGACAAUGCAUGCCCGCAUACCACACAUCUCACGACAGGCACCUUAUAGGAACUUGGCUGGGAGUUGCUGCCACAUCCCCCUUACAGUCCAGACCUCGCCCCCAGCCAUUUCCAUCUCUUCGGACCACUGAAGGCGUUCCUUGGGGGCCGCCACUUCAGCUGCGACGACGAGGUCAAGAAUGCGGUCCGAUCAUGGCUGCUAUGCGCCGCCAUGGACACGACAUGGAUUAUCUCAAGUUCCUUAUCAACUGACAAAAUCUUCGUUUUCUGAACUGCACUAAUCACAAAACACCAUUGGAAAAAGAAAUUCGAACCUACUACUGAGGUAUGUACGCCGGUGACACUUCGGCAACCGCUAG
Molecule: long non-coding RNA, 1750 nt
Organism: Ornithodoros turicata
Lineage: Eukaryota; Metazoa; Arthropoda; Arachnida; Ixodida; Argasidae
Exons: 4
Source: RefSeq, a predicted model, not a curated record